This 117-nucleotide ribosomal RNA is filed under the name Paramormyrops kingsleyae. The record is from RNAcentral. Lineage: Eukaryota; Metazoa; Chordata; Actinopteri; Osteoglossiformes; Mormyridae.
AUGAGCAGCCACACUACCUGCAGUUCCGACUCUGUAAUCCAUCAGAAUCUAAGCAGGUUUGGACCUGCCCAGUACUUGGACGGGAGACCAAGUAGGAAAGCUGGGCUGUUGCUGGAA